This 478-nucleotide ribosomal RNA is filed under the name uncultured bacterium. RNAcentral describes it as "partial 16S ribosomal RNA". It matches the Rfam family "Bacterial small subunit ribosomal RNA", at positions 28 to 523 of the family's 1533-position model. The record is from RNAcentral.
GACGACCGCUGGCGGUGUGCUUAACACAUGCAAGUCGAACGGUAAGGCCCUUCGGGGUACACGAGUGGCGAACGCGUGAGUAACACGUGGGUGAUCUGCCCUGCACUUCGGGAUAAGCCUGGGAAACUGGGUCUAAUACCGGAUAGGACCACUGCCUGCAUGGGUGGUGGUGGAAAGCUUUUGCGGUGUGGGAUGGGCACGCGGCCUUGCAGCUUGUGGGUGGGGUGAUGGCCUACCAAGGCGACGACGGGUAGCCGGCCUGAGAGGGUGACCGGCCACACUGGGGCUGAUAUACGGCCCCGACUCCUACGGGAGGCAGCAGUGGGGAAUAUUGCACAAUGGGCGCAAGCCUGAUGCAGCGACGCCGCGUGAGGGAUGACGGCCUUCGGGUUGUAAACCUCUUUCAGCACCGACGAAGCGCAAGUGACGGUAGGUGCAGAAGAAGGACCGGCCAACUACGUGCCAGCCGCCGCCGUAA